UGAUCAGUUCAGAAGGAAGACUGAGUUCUUUGUUUGGACUCACGGUCUCGGGAGGUUUCCAUUCCAUGGAUUCUGAGCCUCUGAGAACACAAAGCUUUCUGGCAGGGGAGCAAGUACCUUCUCAGCUCAUCACGGUGGUCUGGAAGCAACUAGUGCUGGUAGCACAGCCCCUCCUUGAAAAACCAUGCAUCUAUGAACCCAGUUGGAGUAUGUGGUGACUUGUGCUCACUGCUGGGAGCAUGUGGCUGUUAACAUCUGGCUGAGCCAUUGAUUGUAUCGGAGCUUACAGGAUCCAUUCACUUCCCAAAGGUCCCCACUUCUAGACACAUAAACUUGGGGGGGUUAAAAAGUCAAAGCCUAGACGCAAGUAUGAGGGGCCCUUCAUUCUUAAUGUGCUUUUGUGACGUGUCUCAGAACCUACAGUCUCUCUUCCUACACAAUACCAUUGUAUAGGAAUCACCAGGCAGUUCUGGGGUAGCCUGGAAAAUUUAUCCAACGGUCAAUGGAUGGAGAAGGACUCAGACUCUAAACACAACCUCCCUCAGAGGUCUAGGAUGGGAUUUUUGCUAUGAGUAGGAUGUGAGGGGUGUAGUACCCAUGUUGUUCUUAGAAAUUUUCAUGGAGAAAGUUUCCCAGGGAUCAGGGAACCACUUCUUUUUUUCCCCAAUUCUGGGCAUGGUCAAAUCUGUUAUACCAGGGGCUGUGU
Molecule: long non-coding RNA, 706 nt
Filed under: Mus musculus (house mouse)
Lineage: Eukaryota; Metazoa; Chordata; Mammalia; Rodentia; Muridae
Description: long non-coding RNA chr8:27011415-27012121
Source: RNAcentral